Molecule: long non-coding RNA, 2082 nt
Organism: Gallus gallus (chicken)
Lineage: Eukaryota; Metazoa; Chordata; Aves; Galliformes; Phasianidae
Exons: 6
Source: RefSeq, a predicted model, not a curated record
AUCUUUUCCAGUCCACUCCUUCCUGUGUCCCCAGACAUCUCCCCUAUGCAGGACCCAACCUUACAGACGCUGUACAUCCGUAACUCCUAUUGUGUUUGUCCUUCUCUUUCGGCAGCUUUGGCAGAGUCUGCAAUGGAAGUCUGCCUUCCUCUGAUCACUGAUCUCCCCCAGGACUGCACAUAUUCCUUUGCACCUCCUCCUAUGUGAAGAACCAGUGUUUGCAGCAUGCCUGUGUAACGUGUUGGGUGGUGGAUACAUAUGUACACAUGACAUUGGAAGAUGCGAAAAGGCUGUAAUUCCAGGUUGCUCCAUUUUCACGAUGUUUGACAGAUUUUAAUGAGGCAGUGUUAAGAGCAGUCUGAGACUUUAUUCCAACUGACCAUGUUAUGCUCUAAAAGACCCAGGAUUUCAGCAUGUGUAGUAAGCCACCAUGCUUCCACUGAGGUUAAUGGAAUCAGCGUUUUGAAUCACCUGAGAAUCAGCGAUCAUGGACUGAACCAAAAGGGUUACAAUAACAGUCUGCAGAAACAAGACAACACACACACACUGGAUUCAGGUCUACAUGAAGUGAUAAUUCAUUUAAUACCAUAAAGGCUGCAUUUCCAGUGUUACAGGAAGAGGCAUUUUAUGAUAUGAAGAGAAAAGGUAAACACAAAGAUGUGAAGGCAGAAGAUACCUGUUCUUUGAGGAUGUACAGCUCCCUGCUGCAGGCUAACAGAGUCAGCUUCUCUGGACUUCCCAGGAGUGUCUUCCCAGGGCCCUUAGACAAGGGAUUUCAUCAUCAUGCACAGAUCCAAAAUACUUCCUUGGGGCUACAGUGACAACUAAAGCAACACGACGUAAAGUCUACACAGAUGUUCUUAUCUAUUGAAAAAGCUCAUUCUGGCUCAACUAGCAAUUAAGCAGCAGCAGUCCCUAGCAGCUGCCAGUAGCUGAAAAGGCACAGAAAAAAAGCCACAGUUACCCCCGGGACUGACCUAUGCACACAUUUUCAUCGUCCAGCUCUGCAGAAGCAUUUCUGAAGUAGCCCAGCCUGCAUAACUCACAGUGCUGACCUCUAGUGUUGUGCUUACAGCUCACGCAAAUGACCGUAUUGAGCAGCUCGAUGUAACUGCACCGGUUGGAGUGCCCGAAGCAUUCACAGUCUUUCAAGGAAGAACAGAAAUGUAUACAAAAUGUAUACAGCAGCAGAGUAAUAGCACAUUACAUGCUCAGUAAAAAUGAACUAUGAGAAGAAGUAUGAAUGAAUGGCACGUACAUGUUAAUCAAUGUAAUAUGGACAACAGCAGACGUUUAUCUGCAAUGGAAGUGAGGUUUGUUUCAGGCAGGUUAGUGUGACCGACCAUGGCAUGACGUCAAAGGCUGGUUGCUAUUGGCAGACCUGAUGGAACUGAAGCAUUUGCAGUUGUAAACCUUUCACGAGUAUUGGAGGCUCAGUUUCUGCUGAUAGAAAUGCAUGUCUUUUUUGCAUAUUUGAGAUGACUAUAAAGCAAGACACAGAAAAAUCUUCCUCAUAUUAAAAAUAUUGCAUACAGAGGACAGAACUGUCAAACUUCAGCAUGUUUAAAUCUACAGUGGUAGAUUAAAAAAAAAAAAGCUUUGUUCUGACAUAAGUGGUGAGCAUUCAAAACUAGUACUGAAUUCAGCUCAGGGUACUGUAACUAGUCGGCACCUUGGGAUGGAGCUGUUUUAUUCAAGACCAGAUAAAUUUUGAGUUUGACAAUUGUGGUGAGAGCCUCCUAAAACAGUUGAAACAGGAGAGGAAAAAAAAAAAAGAAGGAAGAGAAGUAUUAUUUAAGAGCCAUUUCUGACACAUUUCUAAGGUAAGUAUUAACCCAGUUUUAUUUCAGACAUGAGGAACAAUUGGUCCAGAAAAGAGCUUGAAAACUGAAAUGUGUGCUGAAUAGAAAGCAUACUUAUCACAGCCAUCUGAAUUGCAGCUGGCAUGACAGCCUCGUUUGAAAAAAAAACAAAACAAAAAAAAACAAAAACAAACCUAUGGUAAGUAUAGAAUGCUACUGCCUCUUAGUAAUUAAUCACAAGCAAUAUGUGGUUUUAUUCAGAAAAAUAAAAAUUAGGAAA